Molecule: ribosomal RNA, 361 nt
Filed under: uncultured microorganism
Description: bacterial SSU rRNA
Rfam family: Bacterial small subunit ribosomal RNA
Source: RNAcentral
GUGCAGCAGUCGAGAAUCUUCCACAAUGGGGGAAACCCUGAUGGAGCGACGCCGCGUGCGGGAUGAAGGCCCUAUGGGUUGUAAACCGCUGUUCAGGUGGAAAGAACAUCCUCCGGCUGAAUAGGUCGGAGGCCUGACGUUACCACUGCAGGAAGUCCCGGCCAACUCCGUGCCAGCAGCCGCGGUAAUACGGGGGGACGAGCGUUGUCCGGAAUCAUUGGGCGUAAAGGGCGCGUAGGCGGCGAGGAAAGUCGAAUGUGAAAUCUUGCGGGCUCAACUGCAAAACUGCGUUCGAAAACUUCCUCGCUUGAGUAUGAGAGAGGUGUGCGGAAUUCCUGGUGUAGCGGUGGAAUGCGUAGAU